CCUACGGGAGGCUGCAGUGGGGAAUAUUGGACAAUGGGGGCAACCCUGAUCCAGCCAUGCCGCGGGUGUGAAGAAGGCCCUCGGGUUGUAAAGCACUUUCAGUGAGGAAGAACGCCUGGUGGUUAAUACCCAUCAGGAAAGACAUCACUCACAGAAGAAGCACCGGCUAACUCCGUGCCAGCAGCCGCGGUAAUACGGAGGGUGCGAGCGUUAAUCGGAAUUACUGGGCGUAAAGCGCGCGUAGGUGGCUUGAUAAGCCGGUUGUGAAAGCCCCGGGCUCAACCUGGGAACGGCAUCCGGAACUGUCAAGCUAGAGUGCAGGAGAGGAAGGUAGAAUUCCCGGUGUAGCGGUGAAAUGCGUAGAGAUCGGGAGGAAUACCAGUGGCGAAGGCGGCCUUCUGGACUGACACUGACACUGAGGUGCGAAAGCGUGGGUAGCAAACAGGAUUAGAUACCCGGGUAGUC
Molecule: ribosomal RNA, 465 nt
Filed under: Vreelandella stevensii
Lineage: Bacteria; Pseudomonadati; Pseudomonadota; Gammaproteobacteria; Oceanospirillales; Halomonadaceae
Description: partial 16S ribosomal RNA
Rfam family: Bacterial small subunit ribosomal RNA
Source: RNAcentral